RNAcentral lists this transfer RNA (72 nucleotides) under Araujotermes parvellus. RNAcentral describes it as "tRNA-Lys". Lineage: Eukaryota; Metazoa; Arthropoda; Insecta; Blattodea; Termitidae. The record is from RNAcentral. RNAcentral also lists the same sequence under 1 other name.
CAUCAGAUGACUGAAACGCAAGCAAUGGUCUCUUAAACCAGUUCAUGAUAUCUUAGCAAAUAUCUCUGAUGA